UUAGUGGCGGACGGGUGUGUAACGCGUGGGUAACCUGCCUUACACAGGGGGAUAACACUUAGAAAUAGGUGCUAAAACCGCAUAAGCGCACAGCUUCGCAUGAAGCGGUGUGAAAAACUCCGGUGGUGUAAGAUGGACCCGCGUCUGAUUAGCUUGUUGGCGGGGUAACGGCCUACCAAAGCGACGAUCAGUAGCCGGCCUGAGAGGGCGGACGGCCACACUGGGACUGAGACACGGCCCAGACUCCUACGGGAGGCAGCAG
Molecule: ribosomal RNA, 262 nt
Filed under: uncultured bacterium
Lineage: Bacteria
Description: partial 16S ribosomal RNA
Rfam family: Bacterial small subunit ribosomal RNA
Source: RNAcentral